RNAcentral lists this long non-coding RNA (443 nucleotides) under Ananas comosus (pineapple). RNAcentral's name for it is "long non-coding RNA (ACOM_LNC023815)". The record is from RNAcentral. Lineage: Eukaryota; Viridiplantae; Streptophyta; Magnoliopsida; Poales; Bromeliaceae.
UAUGAGGUUUAUAACAAAGUUUUCUUUUUAGAGAAAUAUAACAUGCUAGCUACUCGUUUCGUUUACUUCUUUUAAAAAUAAAUUUAGCUGAAAAUAUAAAUUAACUAGGAUUCGAAUUUAAGAUAUUAGACAGUAGAUUAAAAAAAUAUAUAAUUUAUUUAUCAUAAAUUUAAAAAAAAUAUAUAAUUUAUUUUCUAGUUUUUAAAAAAGUAACUUUAUCUUUCAUAUUUUUUUAAAAAAAAUCUGUUAUAUUCUAACUUAAAUUUAUAUAGUCGAUCGAUAACGACAAUAAUUACAUAGUUUUUGUUUUUGUUAUACAAAUUGAGUUUAAAUAGUGAAUUAAAUUUAAUUUUGGAUAUUAAAUUUGAAUUAACAAUAAACAAAUUUCAGUUAAAGUGAAUUAAAAUUAAAAUUUAAAAUUUGAAUUAAAGUGAAUUAAAAUU